This 200-nucleotide long non-coding RNA is filed under the name Ananas comosus (pineapple). RNAcentral's name for it is "long non-coding RNA (ACOM_LNC014899)". Lineage: Eukaryota; Viridiplantae; Streptophyta; Magnoliopsida; Poales; Bromeliaceae. The record is from RNAcentral.
GAUGAGGGGUCCCCACUAGGUUAUAAUAUUUAAUCCAAUGGUUAGAGAUGAUGAAAGCAAUUGAUCCAAAGGCCAAAAACUUGAUAGCAAAAAAGGCCUUUUGCUAUCAAUAGCAUUCUAGCUCAACUCUCUCUCUCUCUCUCUCUCUCUCUCUCUCUCUCUCUCUCUAUAUAUAUAUAUAUAUAUAUAUAUAUAUAUAU